Molecule: RNase P RNA, 516 nt
Filed under: Helcococcus ovis
Lineage: Bacteria; Bacillati; Bacillota; Tissierellia; Tissierellales; Peptoniphilaceae
Also listed under: 1 other name
Description: Bacterial RNase P class A
Rfam family: Bacterial RNase P class A
About the family: Ribonuclease P (RNase P) is a ubiquitous endoribonuclease, found in archaea, bacteria and eukarya as well as chloroplasts and mitochondria.
Source: Rfam by way of RNAcentral
CGAGUAUGUUAGAUAAUCGCUGGUAAUUUUUAUUACGAGAGGAAAGUCCGUGCACCACACAGCAGAAUGCCAGAUAACGUCUGGUGGAGGUGACUCUAAGGAUAGUGCAACAGAGAUAUACCGCUGAAUUUCUAACUUAUGUGUUUAACAAUUGAAAUAAUUUAGGUGUUGAGCCGUCGAAUCUUUCCAAUCGAAGCUCCAUUUUCGGUCGAUUCUCUUGGAGAUUCUUGGCAUGACACCUACUUUAUACUUCAACUAUCUCAUGGUAUUUUAUACCAUGAGAUAGUUGAGCGCAUAAGUUAGGGGUUCAGUAAGGGUGGAAAGGCGAGGUAAGAGCUCACCAGCAUAUGGGUAACUAUGUGGCUAUGUAAACCCCAUUCGGUGCAAGAUCAGAAUAGGAUACAAACCUAGUAGCUGGCUAGGUCCGGUAGGUAGAUUGCUUGAAUGUAUAGGUGACUAUACAUCUAGAUAGAUGAUUAUCAAAUACAGAACACGGCUUAUAAAUAUGCUCGCAUA